RNAcentral lists this transfer RNA (75 nucleotides) under Hoeflea sp. Its description in RNAcentral is "tRNA-Trp". The stretch from base 4 to 69 matches the Rfam family "tRNA". From Rfam's summary of the family: Transfer RNA (tRNA) molecules are approximately 80 nucleotides in length. Their secondary structure includes four short double-helical elements and three loops (D, anti-codon, and T loops). Lineage: Bacteria; Pseudomonadati; Pseudomonadota; Alphaproteobacteria; Hyphomicrobiales; Rhizobiaceae. The record is from RNAcentral.
AUGCCGUUUGGUGUAAUGGUAGCACAAGAGCCUCCAAACCUCUUGGAGAGGGUUCGAUUCCCUCAGCGGAUGCCA